AUAGGUUUGGUCCCAGCCUUCCUGUUAACUUUCAAUAGGCUUAUACAUGCAAGCAUCCACGCCCCGGUGAGUAACGCCCUUCGAAUCACACAGGACUAAAAGGAGCAGGUAUCAAGCACACACUCUUGUAGCUCACAACGCCUUGCUUAACCACACCCCCACGGGAGACAGCAGUAACAAAAAUUAAGCCAUAAACGAAAGUUUGACUAAGCCAUAUUGACCAGGGUUGGUAAAUCUCGUGCCAGCCACCGCGGUCAUACGAUUGACCCAAGCUAACAGGAGUACGGCGUAAAGCGUGUUAAAGCAUCAUACUAAAUAGAGUUAAAUUUUAAUUAAACUGUAAAAAGCCAUAAUUAUAACAAAAAUAAAUGACGAAAGUAACCCUACAAUAGCUGAUACACCAUAGCUAAGACCCAAACUGGGAUUAGAUACCCCACUAUGCUUAGCCCUAAACACAAAUAAUUAU
RNAcentral lists this ribosomal RNA (466 nucleotides) under Ovis aries (sheep). RNAcentral's name for it is "partial 12S ribosomal RNA". The record is from RNAcentral. Lineage: Eukaryota; Metazoa; Chordata; Mammalia; Artiodactyla; Bovidae.